Prionailurus viverrinus (fishing cat) is the source of this 804-nucleotide long non-coding RNA. RefSeq lists it as uncharacterized. NCBI's taxonomy places the organism in Eukaryota, Metazoa, Chordata, Mammalia, Carnivora, Felidae. The transcript has 5 exons. The record is from RefSeq and is a predicted model, not a curated record.
UGGUAUGGAAAGGCGGUGAGCCGGGAGGGAGAGGGAGUUUGCAGGUACCGCCAGAACUUUGGCUGGUCUCUCUAAAGGCACAGAUUUAACUCCGGGCAAGAAAGAAGAUAAGGACACAGAAGCUGUGAGAGGAUAAGUCAUCUCCCAAAUGUCAUAUUGCAGUUUGGGAAACAUGCAAAGCCCUUCUGAGUACUCAACGGAAAAUUCUAUGUAUACUCAUAGAAGUGUUUGGAAUCCAAGAAGAAAGUGAACUUCCCAGCCUAGCUCCAAGCUGGUCUGAUCAACCCGAAGUGAAGAUACCGGUUCUAACCCAAAACUAUUGGGCAAUCUUUAAAGGCAGUAAGGUGUGACGCUCCAGACUGGCAGCUUGGCAAGACGGAGCCCAUGGAUACCAGCACACGGGAAUCUGGACCGUUCACUCUGACAGCAGUCAGCACUGGGAACAAAAGGAAUGGAGGAAAAAAAGCGCAAAUGUAUUUUUACAUAUUGUAGGCAUAUGGCCACAAGACCAGCAGAAAUACAUUUAAUUACCAAUUGCGCGCAUUGAGGAGAAAAACACUGGGAAGGAAAAAAAAAAACUGUGUACACAGCAAUAUUAUUCUACUUUAACUUUUCACCUCCUUUUUUUUUUUUUUAAUUGAAGAUAAAAGGGAUGUGGAUUAGAAUCGCAGAGGGUUAUCUACUGGCAUCCCAUCAAAGGUGAUGUGGGUUUUUCGUGUGCAUUCCUCCAUACCGUAACAUUAUAUAAGGACGUACACGUUUUCUUUUAAUGAUUUUAAUUAUAAAAUAAUUUCACUAAGGUAU